Molecule: ribosomal RNA, 473 nt
Filed under: uncultured bacterium
Lineage: Bacteria
Description: bacterial SSU rRNA
Rfam family: Bacterial small subunit ribosomal RNA
Source: RNAcentral
GCCUAACACAUGCAAAGUCGAACGGAGUUAUGUCACGAAGUCUCGGAGCGGACGACAUAGCUUAGUGGCGGACGGGUGAGUAACGCGUGAGCAACCUGCCUUUCAGAGGGGGACAACGGUUGGAAACGACCGCUAAUACCGCAUGAAAUGACUGGAUCGCAUGAUCCGGUCAUCAAAGAUUUUAUCGCUGAAAGAUGGGCUCGCGUCUGAUUAGAUAGUUGUGGGUAACGGCCCACCAAGUCGACGAUCAGUAGCCCGGACUGAGAGGUUGAACGGCCACAUUGGGACUGAGAUACGGCCCAGACUCCUACGGGAGGCAGCAGUGGGGAAUAUUGGGCAAUGGGGGGCAACCCUGACCCAGCAACGCCGCGUGAAGGAAGAAGGCUUUCGGGUUGUAAACUUCUUUUACCGAGGACGAAGAACGUGACGGUACUCGGAGAAAAAGCCACGGCUAACUACGUGCCAGCAGCUGC